Molecule: small RNA, 167 nt
Filed under: Marmota monax (woodchuck)
Lineage: Eukaryota; Metazoa; Chordata; Mammalia; Rodentia; Sciuridae
Source: RNAcentral
AGAAAGGAGAGAGAGAGAGAGAGAGAGAGAGAGAGAGAGAGAGAGGGAGAAUAGUCACUCCCUUCCUUCCUUCCUUCCUUCCUUCCUUCCUUCCUUCCUUCCUUCCUUCCUUCCUUCCUUCCCCUUUUCCUUUUCCCUUUCCCUUUCCUCUCUCUCUCCCUCCCUCU